This is a non-coding RNA of Oryza sativa Japonica Group (Japanese rice), 449 nucleotides long. NCBI's taxonomy places the organism in Eukaryota, Viridiplantae, Streptophyta, Magnoliopsida, Poales, Poaceae. The record is from RefSeq and is a predicted model, not a curated record.
CAAUUCUCACCAUUAUGAUUGCGCCAAUAUACAAAAUCUACAUUGGCAAUUUAGCGCGUGGAACAUCGAUAUCAAUACAAGAUGGAAUGUGAACUAACAGAUCCACAUACAGAAAUCUCAUAGUAUGAAACAACAAACCAUUGUAAAUAUCAAAGGUGGUACACAAGAUUAGGGUGAGAAAAAAAGGGGAGUCCUAAAAUUACCUAGUGUCACGCAAUGGACACCUUGGCGCCGACCUCCUCGAGCUGCUUCUUGGCAUCCUCGGCCUCGUCCUUGCUGACACCCUCCUUGACCUUCUUGGGGAGGCCCUCGAUGAGGUCCUUGGCCUCCUUGAGGGCCAGGUUGGAGAGCGCGGUGGAAGCCAUGGGGAUGGGGGGAGUGAGCUCUCGCUUCCGGAGUUGAGGUGAGCUGCGGGAGGAGGAAGCGAGGAGACGGGGGGAUAAGAUGAG